This 513-nucleotide ribosomal RNA is filed under the name uncultured soil bacterium. RNAcentral's name for it is "bacterial SSU rRNA". It matches the Rfam family "Bacterial small subunit ribosomal RNA", at positions 26 to 524 of the family's 1533-position model. The record is from RNAcentral.
AGAGUGAACGCUGGCGGUAGGCCUAACACAUGCAAGUCGAACGGCAGCACGGUAAGAGCUUGCUCUUAUGGGUGGCGAGUGGCGGACGGGUGAGGAAUACAUCGGAAUCUACCUUUUGGUGGGGGAUAACGUAGGGAAACUUACGCUAAUACCGCAUACGCCCUUCGGGGGAAAGCCGGGGACCAGCAAUGGCCUGGUGCUGAUAGAUGAGCCGAUGUCGGAUUAGCUAGUUGGUGAGGUAAUGGCUCACCAAGGCGACGAUCCGUAGCUGGUCUGAGAGGAUGAUCAGCCACACUGGAACUGAGACACGGUCCAGACUCCUACGGGAGGCAGCAGUGGGGAAUAUUGGACAAGUGGGCGCAAGCCUGAUCCAGCCAUACCGCGUGGUGAAGAAGGCCUUCGGUUGUAAAGCCCGUUUGUUAGGAAAGAAAGCGAAGUUCGGUUAAUACCCGGUGUUCUGUACGGUACCCAAAGAAUAAGCAACCGCUAACUUCGCGCCAGCAGCCGCGUAAC